GUCUGCAACUCGACUACAUGAAGCUGGAAUCGCUAGUAAUCGCAGAUCAGAAUGCUGCGGUGAAUACGUCCCCGGGUCUUGUACACACCGCCCGUCACACCAUGGGAGUCGGAAAUGCCCGAAGCCGGUGACCAAACCAAUAAGGAAGGAGCCGUCGAAGGCAGGUCUGAUAACUGGGGUGAAGUCGUAACAAGGUAUC
RNAcentral lists this ribosomal RNA (199 nucleotides) under uncultured bacterium. Its description in RNAcentral is "partial 16S ribosomal RNA". It matches the Rfam family "Bacterial small subunit ribosomal RNA", at positions 1303 to 1500 of the family's 1533-position model. The record is from RNAcentral.